RNAcentral lists this long non-coding RNA (1378 nucleotides) under Salmo salar (Atlantic salmon). Its description in RNAcentral is "lncRNA (ENSSSAG00000076409.2, ENSSSAG00020080131.1)". Lineage: Eukaryota; Metazoa; Chordata; Actinopteri; Salmoniformes; Salmonidae. The record is from RNAcentral.
AGCCAAUCCAAGCGCUCUGAAAAUCCUGUCUCUCUGUACCGAGGCAGUGAUGGAGCAGUGCUGUCCUCCGCUAGUCGGAGACUGUGGAAAAGUCCAUAGCUUCGAGAUAAGUGUUAAAAUUUCAUGCCAGUUAUUCCACGGGACUGGAGGUUCGCCAGGCAUGUGUUGGAAUGGUGCUGGUGGUGGUGAGCUGAAUUCAGCCAUCUUUGUCGCCAAUGUUAUAUCUACCUUAGCUGUCAAAGAACGCACAUCUGCACAGUUUCACAUUGCAGAUCACUUUCUCGUUUAAUGACAUGUGCCACUCAUCCUGACAACCCAUUAAUCCGUAAAGCAGCACACUGUCGUAAACCAUAACAACCUACAGUACGACAAACAGCACGUCGUACCAUACAUAACACUGGACAUGCAGAUAAAUUAAAGUCAGAUAAAUUAAAAGGAUGUACAGUACAAUGCCAUCUCUUAUAUGCUCCCAUUCAAGUCUGAGUGUGCCUUCAGUGUCCAGGGGCAGUCAAAGAAUCUAUUUCUACAACUUUUUUCGAAAUGAUUUUUCCCCAACCAAAAGCAAUGUUUGAGUGACAAUCAUACAAUAUGCAGGUAUUACACCCCUGUAGUUGGAAAUCAAUCAAUGGAGAUGUUAUGCCACAGGCCUGUCAGGUGGGCCUUAAUCCUGCCAGUGAACACGAGGCCAAGACGUUCUGAGUCACUGUCAACCAGAGGGCUAAUAGUCAAGAUAGAAGAGGACUACUGCAAUUACCUCCACAAAAUAACCCACAACCAUGACCCUGACCUGAAGAACUUGUUAUCCAGCGCUGGGAUCAGUGAAGACCACCUGACCAACGCAGAGACCUCCAGACUAAUCUAUGUUUCGAUCAGUCUUGGGGGCUAGAUGCCGUCAAAGAGGAGAUGAGGAGACAAGACUACAGCUCAGCGUUCAACACCAUAGUCCCCUCCAAGCUCAUCCGCCAUGCUGACCCUCAACACAAUCCCCUCAGAGGUAUGUACUUAGUCACCUCCUGUACUCCCUGUUCACCCACGACUGUGUGGCCAGGCACGACUUCAACACCAUCAUCAAGUUUGCUUACGACAUGACGGUGGUAGGACUGAUCGCCGACGGCGAUGAACAGCCUACAGGGAGGAGGUCAGAGACGUAGCAGUGUGGUGCCAGGACAACAACCUCUUCCUCAACAUCAGUAAGACCAAGGAGCUGAUCGUGGACUAUAAGAGAAAGAGGUGAGAGCACGGCCCCAUCCACAUCGAAAAGGCUAUUGUGAAGUCGGUCGCGAGCUUCAAGUCCCUUGGUGUCCACACAGUGGAGGCUGCUGGGUGGAGGACGGCUUAUAAUAAUAGCUAGAACAGAGAAAAUUAAAUGGUAUCAAAC